AAGAGAGUGGCGCACGGGUGCGUAACGCGUAUGCAACCUACCUUAAUCAGGGGGAUAGCCCGAAGAAAUUCGGAUUAACACCGCAUAAAAUCACAGUACAGCAUUGUAUAAUGAUCAAAUAUUUAUAGGAUUAAGAUGGGCAUGCGUGUCAUUAGUUAGUUGGCGGGGUAACGGCCCACCAAGACCACGAUGACUAGGGGAUCUGAGAGGAUGACCCCCCACACUGGUACUGAGACACGGACCAGACUCCUACGGGAGGCAGCAGUAAGGAAUAUUGGUCAAUGGAGGCAACUCUGAACCAGCCAUGCCGCGUGCAGGAAGACAGCCCUCUGGGUCGUAAACUGCUUUUAUUCGGGAAUAAACCUACUUACGUGUAAGUAGCUGAAUGUACCGAAGGAAUAAGGAUCGGCUAACUCCGUGCCAGCAGCCGCGGUAAUACGGAGGAUCCAAGCGUUAUCCGGAUUUAUUGGGUUUAAAGGGUGCGUAGGCGGCUUAUUAAGUCAGGGGUGAAAGACGGUGGCUCAACCAUCGCAGUGCCCUUGAUACUGAUGAGCUUGAAUACACUAGAGGUAGGCGGAAUGUGACAAGUAGCGGUGAAAUGCAUAGAUAUGUCACAGAACACCGAUUGCGAAGGCAGCUUACUAUGGUGUUAUUGACGCUGAGGCACGAAAGCGUGGGGAUCAAACAGGAUUAGAUACCCUGGUAGUCCACGCCCUAAACGAUGAAUACUCGCUGUUAGCGAUACACAGUUAGCGGCUAAGCGAAAGCGUUAAGUAUUCCACCUGGGGAGUACGCCCGCAAGGGUGAAACUCAAAGGAAUUGACGGGGGCCCGCACAAGCGGAGGAGCAUGUGGUUUAAUUCGAUGAUACGCGAGGAACCUUACCCGGGCUUGAAAGUUAGUGAAUGAUCUAGAGAUAGAUCAGUGAGCAAUCACACGAAACUAGGUGCUGCAUGGCUGUCGUCAGCUCGUGCCGUGAGGUGUUGGGUUAAGUCCCGCAACGAGCGCAACCCCUAUGUUUAGUUGCCAGCACGUUAAGGUGGGGACUCUAAACAGACUGCCUGUGCAAACAGAGAGGAAGGAGGGGACGACGUCAAGUCAUCAUGGCCCUUACGUCCGGGGCUACACACGUGCUACAAUGGAUGGUACAGAGGGCAGCAAGCUGGCAACAGCAAGCAAAUCUCAAAAAGCCAUUCACAGUUCGGAUAGAGGUCUGCAACUCGACCUCUUGAAGUUGGAUUCGCUAGUAAUCGCGUAUCAGCAAUGACGCGGUGAAUACGUUCCCGGGCCUUGUACACACCGCCCGUCAAGCCAUGGAAGUUGGGGGUACCUAAAGUAUGUAACCGCAAGGAGCGUCCUAGGGUAAAACCGAUAACUGGGGCUAAGUCGUAACAAGGUA
This 1398-nucleotide ribosomal RNA is filed under the name uncultured Pedobacter sp. RNAcentral's name for it is "bacterial SSU rRNA". It matches the Rfam family "Bacterial small subunit ribosomal RNA". The record is from RNAcentral. Lineage: Bacteria; Pseudomonadati; Bacteroidota; Sphingobacteriia; Sphingobacteriales; Sphingobacteriaceae.